GAUGAACGCUAGCUACAGGCUUAACACAUGCAAGUCGAGGGGCAGCAUGGUCUUAGCUUGCUAAGGCCGAUGGCGACCGGCGCACGGGUGAGUAACACGUAUCCAACCUGCCGUCUACUCUUGGACAGCCUUCUGAAAGGAAGAUUAAUACAAGAUGGCAUCAUGAGUCCGCAUGUUCACAUGAUUAAAGGUAUUCCGGUAGACGAUGGGGAUGCGUUCCAUUAGAUAGUAGGCGGGGUAACGGCCCACCUAGUCUUCGAUGGAUAGGGGUUCUGAGAGGAAGGUCCCCCACAUUGGAACUGAGACACGGUCCAAACUCCUACGGGAGGCAGCAGUGAGGAAUAUUGGUCAAUGGGCGAGAGCCUGAACCAGCCAAGUAGCGUGAAGGAUGACUGCCCUAUGGGUUGUAAACUUCUUUUAUAAAGGAAUAAAGUCGGGUAUGGAUACCCGUUUGCAUGUACUUUAUGAAUAAGGAUCGGCUAACUCCGUGCCAGCAGCCGCGGUAAUACGGGGGAUCCGAGCGUUAUCCGGAUUUAUUGGGUUUAAAGGGAGCGUAGAUGGAUGUUUAAGUCAGUUGUGAAAGUUUGCGGCUCAACCGUAAAAUUGCAGUUGAUACUGGAUAUCUUGAGUGCAGUUGAGGCAGGCGGAAUUCGUGGUGUAGCGGUGAAAUGCUUAGAUAUCACGAAGAACUCCGAUUGCGAAGGCAGCCUGCUAAGCUGCAACUGACAUUGAGGCUCGAAAGUGUGGGUAUCAAACAGGAUUAGAUACCCUGGUAGUCCACACGGUAAACGAUGAAUACUCGCUGUUUGCGAUAUACUGCAAGCGGCCAAGCGAAAGCGUUAAGUAUUCCACCUGGGGAGUACGCCGGCAACGGUGAAACUCAAAGGAAUUGACGGGGGCCCGCACAAGCGGAGGAACAUGUGGUUUAAUUCGAUGAUACGCGAGGAACCUUACCCGGGCUUAAAUUGCAGAUGAAUUACGGUGAAAGCCGUAAGCCGCAAGGCAUCUGUGAAGGUGCUGCAUGGUUGUCGUCAGCUCGUGCCGUGAGGUGUCGGCUUAAGUGCCAUAACGAGCGCAACCCUUGUUGUCAGUUACUAACAGGUUCCGCUGAGGACUCUGACAAGACUGCCAUCGUAAGAUGUGAGGAAGGUGGGGAUGACGUCAAAUCAGCACGGCCCUUACGUCCGGGGCUACACACGUGUUACAAUGGGGGGUACAGAGGGCCGCUACCACGCGAGUGGAUGCCAAUCCCAAAAACCUCUCUCAGUUCGGACUGGAGUCUGCAACCCGACUCCACGAAGCUGGAUUCGCUAGUAAUCGCGCAUCAGCCACGGCGCGGUGAAUACGUUCCCGGGCCUUGUACACACCGCCCGUCAAGCCAUGGGAGCCGGGGGUACCUGAAGUGCGUAACCGCGAGGAGCGCCCUAGGGUAAAACUGGUGACUGGGGCUAAGUCGUAA
RNAcentral lists this ribosomal RNA (1459 nucleotides) under uncultured bacterium. Its description in RNAcentral is "bacterial SSU rRNA". It matches the Rfam family "Bacterial small subunit ribosomal RNA". The record is from RNAcentral.